CAGCUGAGAUAUGCAGUGGAUAAAUGCAACAAUCAGGCAAUCUUUAAAGAGAAUAGGGAUAAAAUAAGAGACCUGGGCCUUGUUUAUCUUUUUGAUGAGAAAAUGAUGACGUUAUUUCGGGAAAUCAUGGAAAACUGAGACGAUCCGCACUACCUCCCUAGGUCCCUUUCUGUUCAUUAAGCUGUCACAGAACUGGUUAAAACUAGCAUUUACAUCAGCUAGAACUAUCAAAAUAGAUGCAUCAAUUUCUCCACUGGCUACUCCCAAACAAUUUGAACAAUUCAUUCAGGCAGCAAGUGUUUCCACCAAUAAAAUAAAAAGAAUUGAUUUCAUCCAGAAGAACUGUUUGAACUGUGGACUGUUUGAAAUAUUUUGCACCUGCUCAGAAAUCCCUUCACAGCUUGUCUUUGAAUUUGAAAGGCUGUUUUUAAUUAAAUAAAUUUUCUAGAUAACUAA
Molecule: long non-coding RNA, 456 nt
Organism: Saccostrea echinata
Lineage: Eukaryota; Metazoa; Mollusca; Bivalvia; Ostreida; Ostreidae
Exons: 4
Source: RefSeq, a predicted model, not a curated record